This 406-nucleotide ribosomal RNA is filed under the name uncultured bacterium. RNAcentral's name for it is "partial 16S ribosomal RNA". It matches the Rfam family "Bacterial small subunit ribosomal RNA", at positions 29 to 526 of the family's 1533-position model. The record is from RNAcentral.
AUUGAACGCUGGCGGCAUGCCUAACACAUGCAAGUCGAGCGAGCGGCGGACGGGUGAGUAAUGUCUGGGAAACUGCCUGAUUGAGGGGGAUAACUACUGUAAACGGUAGCUAAUACCGCAUACCAUCAGAUGUGCCCAGGUGGGAUUGGCUAGUAGGUGGGGUAACGGCUCACCUAGGCGACGAUCCCUAGCUGGUCUGAGAGGAUGACCAGCCAAACUGGAACGGAGCAACGGGCAAGACUCCGAGGGGAGGCAGAAGUGGGGAAUAUUGGACAAUGGGGGCAAGCCGGAUGCAGCAAGGCGGGGUGUGUGAAGAGGGCCUUCGGGUUGUAAAGCACUUUCAGCGGGGAGGCGUUACCCGAAGAAGAAGCACCGGCUAACUACGUGCCAGCAGCCGCGGUAAUUC